AGGGCGUAUGGGGGAUGCCUAGGCUCUCAGAGGCGAUGAAGGACGUGAUAAGCUGCGAAAAGCUGCGGGGAUUGGCACAUACGAAUUGAUCCGCAGAUAUCCGAAUGGGGCAACCCACUAUAUUGAAGAUAUAGUACCCGAUAGGGGGCAAACCCGCUGAACUGAAACAUCUAAGUAGGCGGAGGAGAAGAAAACAAAAGUGAUUCCGUAAGUAGUGGCGAGCGAACGCGGAUUAGCCCAAACCAAUGUUGUUACGGCAAUGUUGGGGUUGUAGGACCACGACAUUUCUUGCGGAUUGAAUUAGAAUAACCUGGAAAGGUUAACCAUAGAGGGUGAUAGUCCCGUAUAAGUAAGAGAAGAUAAGGAUAGUGGUAUCCUGAGUAGGGCGGGGCACGUGAAACCCUGUCUGAAUCUGGCGGGACCAUCCGCUAAGGCUAAAUACUCCUGAGAGACCGAUAGUGAACCAGUACUGUGAAGGAAAGGUGAAAAGAACCGUGAAUAACGGAGUGAAAUAGAUCCUGAAACCAUACGCUUACAAGCGGUCGGAGCCCUUUCGUGGGGUGACGGCGUGCCUUUUGCAUAAUGAGCCUACGAGUUACCGUUGCUGGCAAGGAUAAGCACUUCAGGUGUGGAUCCGUAGCGAAAGCGAGUCUGAAUAGGGCGCUUUAGUCAGUAGUGGUAGACGCGAAACCGUGUGAUCUACCCAUGGGCAGGAUGAAGCUGUGGUAACACACAGUGGAGGUCCGAACCGGUUGACGUUGAAAAGUCUUCGGAUGACCUGUGGGUAGGGGUGAAAGGCCAAUCAAACUCGGAAAUAGCUCGUACUCCCCGAAAUGCAUUUAGGUGCAGCGCUGUGUAUAGUUAUAUAGAGGUAGAGCUACUGAUUGGAUGCGGGGGCUUCACCGCCUACCAAUUCCUGACAAACUCCGAAUGCUAUAUAAUGUUUCUCAGCAGUGAGGGCAUGGGUGCUAAGGUCCAUGUCCGAGAGGGAAAGAACCCAGACCAUCAGCUAAGGUCCCCAAAUGUAUGCUAAGUUGAAAAAACGAGGUUUGUCUGCCCAGACAGCUAGGAUGUUGGCUUGGAAGCAGCCAUUCAUUUAAAGAGUGCGUAACAGCUCACUAGUCGAGCGGACGAGCAUGGAUAAUAAUCGGGCAUAAGUAUACUACCGAAGCUAUGGAUUUACGUUUUACGUAAGUGGUAGGGGAGCAUUCUAACAGGGCUGAAGGUGUGAGGCGACUCAUGCUGGACCGGUUAGAAAAGAAAAUGUAGGCAUAAGUAACGAUAAUGCGGGCGAGAAACCCGCACACCGAAAGACUAAGGUUUCCUCAGCUAUGCUAAUCAGCUGAGGGUUAGUCGGGUCCUAAGGCGAACCCGAAAGGGACAGUCGAUGGCCAACGGGUUAAUAUUCCCGUACUACUUAUAAUUGUGAUGGGGUGACGGAGUGAUGAAAGCACCGCGAACUGACGGAAUAGUUCGUUAAAGUACUUAGCUAUAGGUCCCGUAGUAAAAUGCGCGGGAACUGGUGAAAUACGAUAGUACACGGAGUCUUCGGACAAAGUGAUAGUGUGCCUAAGGGCUUCCAAGAAAAACCUCUAAACUUAGAUUAUAAGUACCCGUACCGUAAACCGACACAGGUAGUCGAGGAGAGAAUCCUAAGGUGCUCGAGAGAUUCAUGGCUAAGGAAUUAGGCAAAAUAGACCUGUAACUUCGGGAGAAAGGUCGCCAGCGCAAGCUGGCCGCAGUGAAGAGGUCCAGGCGACUGUUUAUCAAAAACACAGGGCUCUGCAAAAUCGUAAGAUGAAGUAUAGGGCCUGACACCUGCCCGGUGCUGGAAGGUUAAGAGGAGAUGUUAUCUUCGGAGAAGCAUUGAAUUGAAGCCCCAGUAAACGGCGGCCGUAACUAUAACGGUCCUAAGGUAGCGAAAUUCCUUGUCGGGUAAGUUCCGACCUGCACGAAUGGUGUAACGAUCUGGACACUGUCUCAGCCAUGAGCUCGGUGAAAUUGUAGUAUCGGUGAAGAUGCCGAUUACCCGCAGUGGGACGAAAAGACCCUGUGCACCUUUACUAUAGCUUAGUAUUGGUCUUGGAUAAGUGAUGUGUAGGAUAGGUGGGAGACUGUGAAAUGGCGUCGCCAGGCGUUGUGGAGUCAUUGUUGAAAUACCACCCUUUGCUUAUCUGAGAUCUAACCCCGCAAAGC
RNAcentral lists this ribosomal RNA (2196 nucleotides) under Flavobacterium enshiense DK69. RNAcentral's name for it is "bacterial LSU rRNA". It matches the Rfam family "Bacterial large subunit ribosomal RNA", at positions 14 to 2236 of the family's 2925-position model. Lineage: Bacteria; Pseudomonadati; Bacteroidota; Flavobacteriia; Flavobacteriales; Flavobacteriaceae. The record is from RNAcentral.